ACCCUUCUCAAACCGCGCUCUCUCCCCUAUAUUCCGUUUUGCCAGCGACGGUUGGCUAUGGCGAUAAAUGGUUAGCGCAAUAAGCUCUUCGGACCCGGGGGCGGUACCCGGCGCCUCCACCCAAGCCGCGACCCACAGUGCGGGACGCGGUUUCGGCGGGGGCGAAAUAGGAUCGACGAGGGUGUAAAGGCUUUUCUUUCGCUCGGUAUGGUACCACCGUUAUCGGACCAAACCUGUAGUUGCAAAUGACAACUAUGCUGAGGCUCGUCUCGCUGCGUAACGCAGUGCGAUAACCUUGACUAAGCCCUUUCCCUUAGCCGGGCGAGGCGGGGUUCGGAGGCACCCGGCAACAGAAGCCUCCACU
Molecule: transfer-messenger RNA, 364 nt
Filed under: Acuticoccus sp. MNP-M23
Lineage: Bacteria; Pseudomonadati; Pseudomonadota; Alphaproteobacteria; Hyphomicrobiales; Amorphaceae
Rfam family: Alphaproteobacteria transfer-messenger RNA
About the family: Bacterial tmRNA, also known as 10Sa RNA or SsrA, is named for its dual tRNA and mRNA-like properties. Its role is to liberate the mRNA from a stalled ribosome.
Source: RNAcentral